UGCGUAGGUUGUUUUGUAAGUUGACUGUGAAAGUCCUGGGCUCAACCUAGGGAUGUCAGUUAAGACUGUAAGACUUGAGUAUGGGAGAGGGUAGUGGAAUUUCCGGUGUAGCGGUGAAAUGCGUAGAUAUCGGAAGGAACACCGGUGGCGAAGGCGUCUACCUGGCCUGAUACUGACACUGAAGCACGAAAGCGUGGGGAGCAAACA
Molecule: ribosomal RNA, 207 nt
Filed under: uncultured bacterium
Lineage: Bacteria
Description: partial 16S ribosomal RNA
Rfam family: Bacterial small subunit ribosomal RNA
Source: RNAcentral